RNAcentral lists this ribosomal RNA (497 nucleotides) under uncultured bacterium. Its description in RNAcentral is "bacterial SSU rRNA". It matches the Rfam family "Bacterial small subunit ribosomal RNA", at positions 29 to 521 of the family's 1533-position model. The record is from RNAcentral.
AUUGAACGCUGGCGGAAUGCUUUACACAUGCAAGUCGAACGGCAGCACGGGGCAACCCUGGUGGCGAGUGGCGAACGGGUGAGUAAUACAUCGGAACGUGCCCAGUCGUGGGGGAUAACGUAGCGAAAGCUACGCUAAUACCGCAUACGAUCUCUGGAUGAAAGCGGGGGACCGCAAGGCCUCGCGCGAUUGGAGCGGCCGAUGGCAGAUUAGGUAGUUGGUGGGGUAAAGGCUCACCAAGCCGACGAUCUGUAGCUGGUCUGAGAGGACGACCAGCCACACUGGGACUGAGACACGGCCCAGACUCCUACGGGAGGCAGCAGUGGGGAAUUUUGGACAAUGGGCGAAAGCCUGAUCCAGCCAUUCCGCGUGCAGGAUGAAGGCCCUCGGGUUGUAAACUGCUUUUGUACGGAACGAAACGGUCCUGGUUAAUACCUGGGGCUAAUGACGGUACCGUAAGAAUAAGCACCGGCUAACUACGUGCCAGCAGCCGCGGU